CCUACGGGAGGCAGCAGUGAGGAAUAUUGGUCAAUGGCCGGAAGGCUGAACCAGCCAUGCCGCGUGAAGGUCAGUGCCCUAUGGGCGUUAAACUUCUUUUGUGCGGGAGCAAUAAUGGUCACGUGUGGCCAGACGAGAGUACCGUACGAAUAAGCAUCGGCUAACUCCGUGCCAGCAGCCGCGGUAAUACGGGGGAUGCAAGCGUUAUCCGGCUUUAUUGGGUUUAAAGGGUGCGUAGGCUGUGAGGUAAGUCAGCGGUGAAAUGCCCCCGCUCAACGGGGUGAAGUGCCAUUGAUACUGGCUGGCUGGAAUGCGGAUGCCGUGGGAGGAAUGUGUGGUGUAGCGGUGAAAUGCAUAGAUAUCACACAGAACACCGAUUGCGAAGGCAUCUCACGAAGCCGCGAUUGACGCUGAUGCACGAAAGCGUGGGUAUCAAACAGGAUUAGAUACCCCUGUAGUC
This 460-nucleotide ribosomal RNA is filed under the name uncultured bacterium. RNAcentral's name for it is "partial 16S ribosomal RNA". It matches the Rfam family "Bacterial small subunit ribosomal RNA", at positions 338 to 795 of the family's 1533-position model. The record is from RNAcentral.